UUAAAAUGGUUUGUUUCCUAGGGUUAUUUAUUUUAAAAAAUUGAAACUUUAAAAAGUUUAAAAAAUUAUAAAUUAAAUUUUACAAGAAAUUUAAACAAUAUAAAAGAUAUUAAUACGGGACGAUAUACUGCGAGAGAAAUCUUAGAUAUAACACUCAAAAUUCAAUGAUGAAGUUUGGGUCAAUAUUAAUCUUUUUUGAAGUUU
This 204-nucleotide small RNA is filed under the name Arabidopsis thaliana (thale cress). RNAcentral describes it as "ATSL292950". Lineage: Eukaryota; Viridiplantae; Streptophyta; Magnoliopsida; Brassicales; Brassicaceae. The record is from RNAcentral.